GCUGCUGUAGUGUAACGGUCCGCAUGCGGCCCUGUGGAGGCUUAGGACGGGGUUCAAUUCCCCGCAGCGGCC
Molecule: transfer RNA, 72 nt
Filed under: Candidatus Woesearchaeota archaeon
Lineage: Archaea; Nanobdellati; Candidatus Woesearchaeota
Description: tRNA-His
Rfam family: tRNA
About the family: Transfer RNA (tRNA) molecules are approximately 80 nucleotides in length. Their secondary structure includes four short double-helical elements and three loops (D, anti-codon, and T loops).
Source: RNAcentral